GCUCCGGCCCGAUCGCAAAGGACGGGGGAAGGACCGGCCGGGGGCUGAGAGCGUCACUCAGGAGGCCUUUAAUUCGCCGCUUUUCAUGACGUUCAGAUCGGAGCCGCCGCUCCUCUGCCACAGCAGUACCAACUAGCAGCAGCAGCCACUAGCGCCGCGGCAUAGCCGCCAUCUUGUAAUCCGACUCCUGUCCCGUCCCUGCCUUUCUCUUCCUCUCCUAGCCGGGGGAGGGAGAGGGACGGAAGGCCUGCACGGGCUCCACUAGCAGGGGCUAUGGCGGCCGGGAAGGGAAGUAAAAGAAAAGGCUGUCAGUUUGCGAAGGAGGAAGGGGUUGAGAAUACAUUGCGCCUGCGUGCUGCAUGGUCUUCUGCUGGCGGCGGGAAGACGGCGUUGCCCAGCGUUUUUUCUUGCAAUAACAGUUAUCUGUUUCCGUGGUUUCUUGGAAUGAUAUCGUCUCUAAACAGGAAGCGUCUCUGAAGGUCCUUAUCCAAGAUUCCCAGCACUUCUCUCCUUUAUUGUUUUAUUAAAUUAAUCUGGGUUUCUUCGCUGUUGCCUUUAAGAUGAAAGCCCCAUUCCCCUGGUUGCAAAGGCGUUGAAGACGACAAGUUGGGACGAUACUAUACUCUUAAGAACGUGGAGACAAAAUCACUCACCUCCCGCGCUCAUCAGUCAUAAUACUGUAUUUUUUUUCAUCAAAAAAAUUCUACAGCUAUUUUACCCCAAGACUUCUGUUUAACCUUUUCCUUCAACUGCCUUGAGAAAACAUGCUACUUGAUACAGCUGGAGCACAGCGAAGCAAGACUUCAGAGAUGGACAAAGUAAGUAGGGAGGUAUAAAGACCUUAGCUUCAAUUUUUGGAGACGGAGUCACCUUCAGAUGCAAACUGACUUGCUAAGGAUUUUAGCUUCUGUUAAUUAAUAAAUAACAGUCUUGAUGCCCUACAGUUUUUAUCAAUUCUGCAGGGUUUGACACGCCUGUAUGUUAAACCAUGAUGCAUAAAAUUAAGAGCAAGCAAUCUAAUAAACAGGCCUAGAAGGAUGCUGUGACCGAUGGUAUCAAUUAAUGGAAUAACAGUUGAGAGGGACCUGGGAGGUCUUCUAGUCCAACCCCUUGCUCAAGCAGGAAAUCUUUUAUGUUUCAGACAAUCUUAAAACCUCCAGUGUUGGAGCACCCACAGCUUCUGCAGACAAGUUCCACUGAUUAAUUGUUCUGUCAGGAAAUUUCUAAGUUGCUUCUCUCCUUGAUUAGAUUCCAUCCAUUGCUUCUUCUCCUGCCUUCAGGUGUUUUGGCGAAUAGGUUGACCCCCGUCCUUUGGGGCAGCCCCAUAGAUAUUGGAACACUGCUAUCACAUCACUUCUAGUCCUUCUUUUCAUUAAACUAGAAAUACCCAA
This is a long non-coding RNA of Ahaetulla prasina, 1391 nucleotides long. RefSeq lists it as uncharacterized. The transcript has 2 exons. The record is from RefSeq and is a predicted model, not a curated record. NCBI's taxonomy places the organism in Eukaryota, Metazoa, Chordata, Lepidosauria, Squamata, Colubridae.